GAUGAACGCUGGCGGAGUGCCUAAUACAUGCAAGUCGAGCGGCAGCACGAGUAGUUUACUACUUGGUGGCGAGCGGCGGACGGCUGAGUAACGCGUGGGAACGUGCCCCAAAGUGAGGAAUAACUGCCCGAAAGGGUAGCUAAUGCCGCAUAUGAUCUUCGGAUUAAAGUAUUUAUUACGCUUUGGGAGCGGCCCGCGUCCGAUUAGAUAGUUGGUGAGGUAAAGCUGACCAAGGCGAUGAUCGGUAACUGGUCUGAGAGGACGACCAGUCACACUGGGACUGAGACACGGCCCAGACUCCUACGGGAGGCAGAAGUGGGGAAUAUUGGACAAUGGGGGCAACCCUGAUCCAGCAAUGCCGCGUGUGUGAAGAAGGCCUUCGGGUUGUAAAGCACUUUAGGUUGGGAAGAAGGUGGUUAUUUUAAGAGAUAGAUCACUUGACGGUACCGACAGAAUAAGCACCGGCUAAC
RNAcentral lists this ribosomal RNA (470 nucleotides) under uncultured bacterium. Its description in RNAcentral is "partial 16S ribosomal RNA". It matches the Rfam family "Bacterial small subunit ribosomal RNA", at positions 28 to 501 of the family's 1533-position model. The record is from RNAcentral.